GAACUUGUAGCUCAGUUGGUUAGAGCGCCUCGUUGACAUCGAGGAGGUCAGAGGUUCGAGUCCUCUCAAGUUCACCA
Molecule: transfer RNA, 77 nt
Filed under: Candidatus Woesebacteria bacterium
Lineage: Bacteria; Candidatus Woeseibacteriota
Description: tRNA-Val
Rfam family: tRNA
About the family: Transfer RNA (tRNA) molecules are approximately 80 nucleotides in length. Their secondary structure includes four short double-helical elements and three loops (D, anti-codon, and T loops).
Source: RNAcentral